Molecule: long non-coding RNA, 224 nt
Filed under: Homo sapiens (human)
Lineage: Eukaryota; Metazoa; Chordata; Mammalia; Primates; Hominidae
Description: non-protein coding lnc-TP53TG3F-12:1
Source: RNAcentral
UGUGAGUGGGAUCCCAACAAAAGUUCCAAAGGGCCAGUUAUCUUUACAUAGGACGCCAGCAGAGAAUUUUGUUACACUGGAGGAAAGAAAAGGAGACCUUGAGGAAUAUGGUCAUGAUCUUCUCCAUACUGUCUUCAAGAAUGGCACGGUGACAAAAAGCUCUUCAUUUGAUGAAAUAAGAAAAAAAUGCACAGGUGAAUAUUGAACUGGAAGCAGCACCUCAU